GACGAACGCUGGCGGCGUGCUUAACACAUGCAAGUCGAACGGAAAGGCCUCUUUCGGGGGGUACUCGAGUGGCGAGCGGGUGAGUAACACGUGAGUAACCUGCCCUUGACUUUGGGAUAACUUCAGGAAACUGGGGCUAAUACCGGAUAGGAGCUCCUGCUGCAUGGUGGGGGUUGGAAAGUUUCGGCGGUUGGGGAUGGACUCGCGGCUUAUCAGCUUGUUGGUGGGGUAGUGGCUUACCAAGGCUUUGACGGGUAGCCGGCCUGAGAGGGUGACCGGCCACAUUGGGACUGAGAUACGGCCCAGACUCCUACGGGAGGCAGCAGUGGGGAAUAUUGCACAAUGGGUGGAAGCCUGAUGCAGCAACGCCGUGUGCGGGAGGACGGCCUUCGGGUUGUAAACCGCUUUCGCUCAUGACGAAGCUUUGCGUGACGGUAGUGGGUAAAGAAGCACCGGCUAACUACGUG
RNAcentral lists this ribosomal RNA (467 nucleotides) under uncultured bacterium. RNAcentral describes it as "partial 16S ribosomal RNA". It matches the Rfam family "Bacterial small subunit ribosomal RNA", at positions 28 to 507 of the family's 1533-position model. The record is from RNAcentral.